UUGCUGGUCUGAUCAGUGGCGAACGCUUAGUAACACGUGAGCAACCUACCCCAGACUCUGGAAUAACCAUGGGAAACGAUGGCUAAUACCGGAUACGAGACACACACGCAUGUGUGGUGUCUGGAAAGAUUUAUCGGUCUGGGAUGGGCUCGCGGCCUAUCAGCUUGUUGGUGGGGUAGUGGCCUACCAAGGCGACGACGGGUAGCCGGCCUGAGAGGGCGACCGGCCACACUGGGACUGAGAUACGGCCCAGACUCCUACGGGAGGCAGCAGUGGGGAAUAUUGCACAAUGGGCGCAAGCCUGAUGCACGCGACGCCGCGUGAGGGAUGACGGCCUUCGGGUUGUAAACCUCUUUCAGCAGGGAAGAAGCGCAAGUGACGGUACCUGCAGAAGAAGCGCCGGCUAACUACGUGCCAGCACGCCGCGGUAAUACGUAGGGCGCAAGCGUUGUCCGGAAUUAUUGGGCGUAAAGAGCUCGUAGGCGGUUUGUCGCGUCUGCUGUGAAAACCUAAGGCUCAACCUUGGGCUUGC
RNAcentral lists this ribosomal RNA (532 nucleotides) under Cellulomonas sp. 7ANAV. Its description in RNAcentral is "bacterial SSU rRNA". It matches the Rfam family "Bacterial small subunit ribosomal RNA", at positions 80 to 624 of the family's 1533-position model. The record is from RNAcentral. Lineage: Bacteria; Bacillati; Actinomycetota; Actinomycetes; Micrococcales; Cellulomonadaceae.